RNAcentral lists this ribosomal RNA (502 nucleotides) under uncultured Glomus. RNAcentral describes it as "SSU rRNA". It matches the Rfam family "Eukaryotic small subunit ribosomal RNA", at positions 569 to 1074 of the family's 1831-position model. The record is from RNAcentral. Lineage: Eukaryota; Fungi; Glomeromycota; Glomeromycetes; Glomerales; Glomeraceae.
AGCAGCCGCGGUAAUUCCAGCUCCAAUAGCGUAUAUUAAAGUUGUUGCAGUUAAAAAGCUCGUAGUUGAAUUUCGGGAUCAAUAUUUCGGUCAUGCCGUUGGUAUGCACUGUUAUCAUUGAUUUCUCACCUUCUAAAGAACCGUAAUGCCAUUAAUUUGGUGUUACGGGGAAUUAGGACUGUUACCUUGAAAAAAUUAGAGUGUUUAAAGCAGGCUCACGCUUGAAUACAUUAGCAUGGAAUAAUGAAAUAGGACAUCCGAUUCUAUUUUGUUGGUUUCUAGGAUCGAUGUAAUGAUUAAUAGGGAUAGUUGGGGGCAUUAGUAUUCAAUUGUCAGAGGUGAAAUUCUUGGAUUUAUUGAAGACUAACUACUGCGAAAGCAUUUGCCAAGGAUGUUUUCAUUAAUCAAGAACGAAAGUUAGGGGAUCGAAGACGAUCAGAUACCGUCGUAGUCUUAACCAUAAACUAUGCCGACUAGGGAUCGGAUGAUGCUAAUUUUUAAU